Dermacentor andersoni is the source of this 791-nucleotide long non-coding RNA. RefSeq lists it as uncharacterized. Lineage: Eukaryota; Metazoa; Arthropoda; Arachnida; Ixodida; Ixodidae. The record is from RefSeq and is a predicted model, not a curated record.
CAGGCUGGCUGUACCCGGUUUGGAGGCAAACCGGAUGUGACGUGUGCCAGUGGCGUACUCCCUGCCCCCAGAUAGGUACUUGUACGCCUAGGGAAAGACGCUGCUAGGUGCUGCUGCUAAAUCCCUGUGGUUUCUGCCAGCCACAUGCGGCCAUUGCCGGCUCACGUAGGUUCGUUCGCGUGGUCUUGUUACGCCUCGCUGGAUCGUGUUCAGUCAUGCCGUCCUUGCGCGGCGUGAUUGUCGGUGAGUCAGGUUAAAUUCUUAAAUAGGUCGCGCCUGCGCCUAAUUGAGUCUAUAAAAGCCUGCACAUUCAGUUUUGCUAGCUACAAUGCAGUGCGGCUGGCGUGAGCUGUCUCCACGAUGCGCUUCGAGCGUGUCGAUUUCGCCGUUCUUUAUGUUGGCGUUAACGACCUUGAAAGCAACAUGGAUCCACAAGAAAUGUGCGACAACAUCAAGGCCUUGAUUGUUCAACGAGACGGCCCCCGUCGUGCUGGUUUUCAAGGUGCUCCCUCGCUGCCUAGAAGAUGCUGAUGCGGAAUAGAAAAUGCAAAAACGUCGCUUGCUCAACCGCAAAUUGACGGUUACGCUGAAGCGCAUGUCGUGUCUGCGGAAUUUGAACCCCGAGCUUUCCAGAGUUCCUUGGAAAAUCCCCCCAUGCACCUGCCAUGUACAUUGCCCUCCUCCUCGAUGUGGCGUGCAAGAUGGCAGCAGCAGCUGUGGGAACAGUUGAAGAGGCGAAGAAAGGUCCACUUUAUAAUAGGUUGUAUGUAAAUAAAACUGAUCGACCUCAA